This 316-nucleotide ribosomal RNA is filed under the name uncultured bacterium. RNAcentral describes it as "bacterial SSU rRNA". It matches the Rfam family "Bacterial small subunit ribosomal RNA", at positions 28 to 334 of the family's 1533-position model. The record is from RNAcentral.
GAUGAACGCUAGCGGCAGGCUUAACACAUGCAAGUCGAGGGGCAGCAUGACGGAACUUUCGGGUUCUGUUGAUGGCGACCGGCGCAAGGGUGCGUAACGCGUGAGCAAUUUGCCCGUUUCUGGGGCAUAACCGGUGGAAACGCCGACUAAUUCCCCAUAGUAUCCAUUGGAGGCAUCUCUAUUGGAUUAAAGAAAUUCGGAAACGGAUAGGCUCGCGUGACAUUAGCUAGAUGGCGGGGUAACGGCCCACCAUGGCGACGAUGUCUAGGGGUUCUGAGAGGAAGGUCCCCCACACUGGAACUGAGACACGGUCCAG